RNAcentral lists this ribosomal RNA (482 nucleotides) under uncultured bacterium. Its description in RNAcentral is "partial 16S ribosomal RNA". It matches the Rfam family "Bacterial small subunit ribosomal RNA", at positions 30 to 507 of the family's 1533-position model. The record is from RNAcentral.
AUUGAACGCUGGCGGCAUGCUUUACACAUGCAAGUCGAACGGUAACAGGCCGCCAGGUGCUGACGAUUGGCGAACGGGUGAGUAAUGCAUCGGAACGUGCCCAGCCGUGGGGGAUAACUACUCGAAAGCGUAGCUAAUACCGCAUACGACCUAUGGAUGAAAUCGGGGGACCGUAAGGCCCCGCGCGAUUGGAGCGGCCGAUGUCAGAUUAGGUAGUUGGUGGGGUAAAGGCUCACCAAGCCAACGAUCUGUAGCUGGUCUGAGAGGACGACCAGCCACACUGGGACUGAGACACGGCCCAGACUCCUACGGGAGGCAGCAGUGGGGAAUUUUGGACAAUGGGCGCAAGCCUGAUCCAGCAAUGCCGCGUGCAGGAAGAAGGCCUUCGGGUUGUAAACUGCUUUUGUACGGAACGAAACGGCUCUGGUUAAUACCCGGGGCUAAUGACGGUACCGUAAGAAUAAGCACCGGCUAACUACGUG